This 253-nucleotide ribosomal RNA is filed under the name uncultured bacterium. RNAcentral describes it as "partial 16S ribosomal RNA". It matches the Rfam family "Bacterial small subunit ribosomal RNA", at positions 524 to 776 of the family's 1533-position model. The record is from RNAcentral.
UACGAAGGGGGCUAGCGUUGCUCGGAAUCACUGGGCGUAAAGGGUGCGUAGGCGGGUCUUUAAGUCAGGGGUGAAAUCCUGGAGCUCAACUCCAGAACUGCCUUUGAUACUGAAGAUCUUGAGUUCGGGAGAGGUGAGUGGAACUGCGAGUGUAGAGGUGAAAUUCGUAGAUAUUCGCAAGAACACCAGUGGCGAAGGCGGCUCACUGGCCCGAUACUGACGCUGAGGCACGAAAUCGUGGGGAGCAAACGGG